GCCGUCAUAGCUCAAUUGGCAGAGCAAUUGAUUUGUAAUCAAUAGGUUGUAGGUUCGAGUCCUAUUGACGGCACCA
RNAcentral lists this transfer RNA (76 nucleotides) under Bacillota bacterium. RNAcentral's name for it is "tRNA-Thr". It matches the Rfam family "tRNA". From Rfam's summary of the family: Transfer RNA (tRNA) molecules are approximately 80 nucleotides in length. Their secondary structure includes four short double-helical elements and three loops (D, anti-codon, and T loops). Further hydrogen bonds mediate the characteristic L-shaped molecular structure. tRNAs have two regions of fundamental functional importance: the anti-codon, which is responsible for specific mRNA codon recognition, and the 3' end, to which the tRNAs corresponding amino acid is attached (by aminoacyl-tRNA synthetases). tRNAs cope with the degeneracy of the genetic code in two manners: having more than one tRNA (with a specific anti-codon) for a particular amino acid; and 'wobble' base-pairing, i.e. permitting non-standard base-pairing at the 3rd anti-codon position. Lineage: Bacteria; Bacillati; Bacillota. RNAcentral also lists the same sequence under 2 other names. The record is from RNAcentral.